UGAGGAAUAUUGCGCAAUGGGGGCAACCCUGACGCAGCGACGCCGCGUGGGCGAUGAAGGCCUUCGGGUCGUAAAGCCCUUUUCCCACUGACGAGACAAGGACGGUAGGUGGGGAAUAAGUCUCGGCUAACUACGUG
Molecule: ribosomal RNA, 137 nt
Filed under: uncultured bacterium
Lineage: Bacteria
Description: partial 16S rRNA
Rfam family: Bacterial small subunit ribosomal RNA
Source: RNAcentral